GUUGGAAUCUCAAGGGCACAUGAAAUGAAGAAAUAAUUCUGGACAAUUUCUGCUCUUUCUGAAAUGAAAAAAAGUAAGUAGAAGUAUCAAAGUGACAUCUCCAUCAAUUUAGAAUUAAGGAAUCGACUUUUUCUUGUCUCGAGUCAGAAAACAGCAAAAAAAAAAAAUUCUGACAACCUCAGUUUAGAAAACUGCCAUAGGGAAAGCUUCACUCCUCAGCACAGCCUUUUAUUGCAUAAGAAACAGUAUAUUAUACAAACUAAUAUGCCUGCUGAGUUAUGCUCUAUUUUACAUUAUUCAUGCCUCACCUUUCCUUUCUCUUCUUUCACUAAUUGAGCUCCUGCCUUCGUUAUUUGUACAACAGUGUCCCAGGGGAUCCUCUUGUUCUCUUCAUAAAAAUAUAACUUAAGUGAGCCCAUGAAACAAUUACAUCUUUGUAUUAACUUGUAUUAAUAGAUGUGCUGUAGCUGCAUAGCUGGAUCACUUAAAUAUAUUGGAAAAGACGUGGAGUACAUAAGAAAGCUUAUGCAGUGUUUACGCAGUCUUCCCACUUAUUUUGCCAAAACUGCAUUGCUCCAAGUCCUGUGAUGUACUGAACAAAAACAAAUUUGAGCACAUGCAAAGGCAAGCCUCUAGAGCAUACACAUAGUAGGAAAACACAAGUGUUGUUCACAAUAAAUAAUGUGACGGAGAUCUUUACAAGAAGCCUGUUUCCUAUAGGAUUUGGGUGUUCCUGGGAGGAGCCACCCAUCAGGAUGCAGUGCUCCCUGCAGGAGGGCCGGAGUGCCAAUGCUCCACAAUUGCACUUGACAAACCUCCAUCAUCUGCCAAAAGCAGCUAUGUGGAAGCUCAGCCAUAUCAUGCAAGUGGUGACAAGCAGAGGAAACAGCAUAGAACUAAUUGUGUGAGAUACAAUUUACUGGCUCAAGAAUUUACAUCCUGAUCACAAUUUACCAUGCGUUUAUCCCAAUUUUCAUAUUUCACCUCCACGCUUGAUGUUUACAAGAGCUCUGGCCCUCAUCCCCCUGCCCAGCAGGCUGCUGCUCCCACCAGCAGGUGGGUUCCUAGAACGGAAUCAUAGAAUCACUGAGGUUGGAAAGUACCUCUAAGAUCACCAAGUCCAACGUCUCCACAGUUCCUGACUGCCUCCAGGGACAGCGACUCCACCAUUCCCUGGGCAGCCUGUUCCAAUACCUCCUGCUGCACAGCAAAGCACUGUGGGUGCAAAGGGGCCCUCAGAUGGCUGCUCGCUCCCAUGUGCCAUCAGAAGCUAUAUAGGUACCCCACUCAUUCCAGUUCCUUCUGCACCCAUCUUAAUUUGAUGCUUUACUAGCAAAUGAAGGCAAAGAGAUGCAAUCACAGUGACAUGUUACAGGGCUUCACCAUGCAAAGUACACUGCUUACAGCUGCUACCACUUAAUUUUAAACUAACAAUAUGAGAUGCAGCAUCUUCUCAAACAAAUAGUCAGAAAACACCUCUAUGCUAAUUCUCCACCUUGGCAGAUCUGCAGGGAAUUCACUGUGAUUUUCUGCAGGGACUGCAAGUGGGUCACAGAUCCACAUUGUGCCACAGCAGAGCUGGCCCAGCCUGGGCUGUUUCUGAGCCACAUAUCCCCCAAACAUCCUCUGCAGGACACAGUUCUGCAGCACAUUCCUUGGGCCAUGCUCACUGUACAUGAGCUCUUUGGAUCCUAAGUAGCUCUUAACAUAUUUCACACCUGACCUGCAUGUGAAGCUGUAUUACAUCGGCCACUGUAAGAAAAGGAAUAUACACAGUAUACACACACACACACACUGUCCUGUUUCUGUUCUGCCAGAUCAGUACAUUAUAACAGAGAGGCUAUUACAGGCAGGUUUAGUUAGCUGUGCAUCAUUUCACACCUUCAUUACACUCUUUACCAGGAAAACGGAUUGCUUUUGAGCCUCUCUCCAUUCUCAUUAAACUUCCACUCUUGUGAGGUGUCAGAAUUGUAAAAUGCCUAAUAUGGCCAGCUAAUUAUAACAGUGCUCCCUGCUUUAGCCUCUUCAAUUACAUGUAUUUCUACUGGCUGAAGCAGCCAAGCUCCCACUUUGGGUUACUCAGACCAAAACUAACAAGGAGACUGGGGGUGUGCAGUGAACAGAGGACAACAUGCCCACACAGGACCUGGGAGAAAAUGAGAAAGAUCCCAGCUGCAGGACACAGCAUUUCUCAGGACACGCAACAGGCAGUCCGUGCCUAGGCAAGGCUGGAAGUUGGAGGUGCCCUAUUGCUUUCAACAUUCUUAGGUAAUGCUGAUAGCUGGAAGUCAGGCACUACAAGCCUCAUGAAGGAAGCCCUCCUUGAAGCUGCUCCAAGUAAUAGCAGCACUUAUCAGAACAAGAACCAGCAGAAAUUAGCCUAAAAUCAUAUAAAUGACACCAUUUUUGCUUUGAGACACAAGUCGCCUGAUAGCUAUGAGUUAAUUCUCUCCUUAAGCAUCACUGCAUUCUUGCACGUAUGGUAAGACCUGUGCAAACAUCUGCUUGUAGCAGCUCCUGGGGAUCAAACACUGGAAGCCUCCAUCUAGUUUGACUUGGUCAUUUCUCCCAUCUUCUUGCAGCCAUGGAAAGCAAAGAGAAGACCAACCAGAAGUCUACAACCCUCACAGAGAACAAACGGCACCCAUGUCCCUCAAACAGUACAGUAUUGUGCAGCCAACAUGAAGCUUACUAGCACAGAUAUUUGGCAAUGGAGAAGCCUGAUGGUUUUUUGACCACAGCUGGAUGAGGAUGAGCUCUGAUCACCCAGUCUGACUCCCAGGACUGAGCCAUUCCACCAGGUCCCAGCCUGCUCAAAGAAGCCUUGAUUUAAAGUUUCUCAAAGCAGCAAAUCCAAUGGGACUCAAAGACUUUGUAAGGAUAAACCACCCUCCUCCUUCACAUCUCCCCACAAAAAGAUGUUUAAUGAAGCGACACAUGGAUAUGAGAUGCCCCUGUUAUUUCUUCUGCCCAGUCUCUAUCGUUUUCAAUCUCAGAACUAUUGAAUAAAUGGAAAUCAAGUCACCAGCCCUGUUUUGCACUUCUUCAGCACAGCUCCCACUGGAGUUCAUGAGAAAUGUGCAUAAGGUACACACAGGAGGCUCAGGUCUCCUCUUCCCCACAUUGUCUGCAUGGAAGAACUGAAAAGGAAUGUUUUCAUUGUUCACAGCUAUCAUCUACUUUUUAACCAAAUAUUGCCAUUAAUAAAGCACACUUUCUAAACGAACCAUACUCCAUCAUGGCCACUCUUUCACACAGUUUCCCCCUGCUUUGGGGCCUUAUGUUAAUACUCACAUCAAUAUGGAUGGGAAGGAAUGGCCUUAACUUGUGCCAGGGAAGGUUCAGCUUGGAUAUUAGGAAAAC
Gallus gallus (chicken) is the source of this 3363-nucleotide long non-coding RNA. Lineage: Eukaryota; Metazoa; Chordata; Aves; Galliformes; Phasianidae. The record is from Ensembl.